Long non-coding RNA from Mauremys mutica (yellowpond turtle), 246 nucleotides. RefSeq lists it as uncharacterized. NCBI's taxonomy places the organism in Eukaryota, Metazoa, Chordata, Testudines, Geoemydidae. The record is from RefSeq and is a predicted model, not a curated record. The transcript is spliced from 3 exons.
CUGGGGGCGGGAGAACAAAGCUGCUGCUGCCGCCUCCGUGUGAGCCGCCUUGUGUUCAGAGACAAAGAGCAGGUCUACACUACCACCGGAUCGGCAGGUAGCUCUCUCCCAUCAACUCCAGUACUCCACUGCCUUAAGGGGCGAAUGCGGAGUCGAUGGGUUAGCAGCAGCAGUCGGAUGCUGCGGCUGCCGAAUGACGUCCAUGUUUCGCUCCAGCUCAUCCCAUCCUCCCAUGGGACAUAGGAG